CGGGGUGCACCAGGCGCGAAAACUUCGCAAUGCACGAAAGUGCGACGAGGCUACUUCGAGUGCCGUCCGCUGAGGAUGGCUUUUGCCAAGUCUAAAUAGCUUGGAGAAUAAGGGGAGGGCAAGUCUGGUGUCAGCCGCCGCGGUAAUACCAGCUCCCCGAGUGGUCGGGAUGAUUAUUGGGCCUAAAGCAUCCGUAGCCGGUUCCGUAGGUCUCCUGUUAAAUUCAACGGCUCAACCGUUGAGCUGCAGGAGAUACCGCGGGGCUAGGAGGCGGGAGAGGCGGACGGUACUCCGUGGGUAGGGGUAAAAUCCUCUGAUCCUCGGAAGACCACCAGUGGCGAAGGCGGUCCGCCAGAACGCGCUCGACGGUGAGGGAUGAAAGCUGGGGGAGCGAACCGGAUUAGAUACCCGGGUAGUCCCAGCUGUAAACGAUGCGAGCUAGGUGAUAGAAUGAUUUCGUAUCAUUCUAGUGCCGCAGGGAAGCCGUUAAGCUCGCCGCCUGGGGAGUACGGUCGCAAGACCGAAACUUAAAGGAAUUGGCGGGGGAGCACAAGGGCGAAUCGCG
This 565-nucleotide ribosomal RNA is filed under the name uncultured archaeon. RNAcentral describes it as "bacterial SSU rRNA". It matches the Rfam family "Archaeal small subunit ribosomal RNA", at positions 326 to 897 of the family's 1478-position model. The record is from RNAcentral.